ACGUAGGGUGCGAGCGUUAAUCGGAAUUACUGGGCGUAAAGCGUGCGCAGGCGGUUCGCUAAGACAGGUGUGAAAUCCCCGGGCUUAACCGGGAGAGGACGUGCGAGACUGUCGGACUAGAGGCAGGUAGAGGCAAGUGGAAUUCCGGGUGUAGUGGUGAAAUGCGUAGAGAUCCGGAGGAACCCCGGUGGCGAAGGCGACUUGCUGGGCCUGAACUGACGCUCAGACGCGAAAGCGUGGGGAGCAAACAG
Molecule: ribosomal RNA, 251 nt
Filed under: uncultured prokaryote
Description: partial 16S ribosomal RNA
Rfam family: Bacterial small subunit ribosomal RNA
Source: RNAcentral